CAGUCGCCGCGGUAAUACGGAGGAUCCAAGCGUUAUCCGGAAUCAUUGGGUUUAAAGGGUCCGUAGGCGGUCUUGUAAGUCAGUGGUGAAAGCCCAUCGCUCAACGGUGGAACGGCCAUUGAUACUGCAGGACUUGAAUUAUAGGGAAGUAACUAGAAUAUGUAGUGUAGCGGUGAAAUGCUUAGAGAUUACAUGGAAUACCAAUUGCGAAGGCAGGUUACUACCAAUUGAUUGACGCUGAUGGACGAAAGCGUGGGUAGCGAACAGGAUUAGAUACCCCGGUAGUCCCUGUCUCUUAUAA
This 301-nucleotide ribosomal RNA is filed under the name uncultured bacterium. Its description in RNAcentral is "partial 16S ribosomal RNA". It matches the Rfam family "Bacterial small subunit ribosomal RNA", at positions 509 to 809 of the family's 1533-position model. The record is from RNAcentral.